This 253-nucleotide ribosomal RNA is filed under the name uncultured bacterium. Its description in RNAcentral is "partial 16S ribosomal RNA". It matches the Rfam family "Bacterial small subunit ribosomal RNA", at positions 524 to 776 of the family's 1533-position model. The record is from RNAcentral.
UACGUAGGGUGCAAGCGUUAAUCGGAAUUACUGGGCGUAAAGCGUGCGCAGGCGGUGAUGUAAGACAGUUGUGAAAUCCCCGGGCUCAACCUGGGAACUGCAUCUGUGACUGCAUCGCUGGAGUGCGGCAGAGGGGGAUGGAAUUCCGCGUGUAGCAGUGAAAUGCGUAGAUAUGCGCGAGACACCGAUGGCGAAGGCAAUCCCCCUGGGCCUGCACUGACGCUCAUGCACGAAAGCGUGGGGAGCAAACAGG